GACGAACGCUGGCGGCGUGCUUAACACAUGCAAGUGGUGCGACGAACCAGGCUUCGGCCUGGGGCAAAGCCGCGAACGGGUGAGUAACACGUGAGUAAUCUGCCCCGAUGACCGGGACAACCCGAGGAAACUCGGGCUAAUACCGGAUGAUGAGCCUUGGCAUAAGCCUUGUCUCUAAAGGAAGCUUCGGCCUCCGCAUCGGGAGGAGCUCGCGGCCCAUUAGCUAGUUGGUGGGGUAACGGCCUACCAAGGCGACGAUGGGUAGCUGGUCUGAGAGGACGAUCAGCCACACUGGGACUGAGACACGGCCCAGACUCCUACGGGAGGCAGCAGUGGGGAAUCUUGCGCAAUGCGCGAAAGCGUGACGCAGCAACGCCGCGUGGGGGAAGAAGGCCUUCGGGUUGUAAACCCCUUUCAGUUGGGACGAAGCUUCGCCGGUGAAUAGCCGGCUGGAGUGACGGUACCUUCACAAGAAGCCCCGGCUAACUACGUGCCAGCCGCCGCCGUAAAAC
Molecule: ribosomal RNA, 512 nt
Filed under: uncultured bacterium
Lineage: Bacteria
Description: bacterial SSU rRNA
Rfam family: Bacterial small subunit ribosomal RNA
Source: RNAcentral